This 253-nucleotide ribosomal RNA is filed under the name uncultured bacterium. RNAcentral describes it as "partial 16S ribosomal RNA". It matches the Rfam family "Bacterial small subunit ribosomal RNA", at positions 524 to 776 of the family's 1533-position model. The record is from RNAcentral.
UACGAAGGGGGCUAGCGUUGUUCGGAAUUACUGGGCGUAAAGCGCACGUAGGCGGACUUUUAAGUCAGGUGUGAAAUCCCGGGGCUCAACCUCGGAACUGCCUUUGAUACUGGAAGUCUUGAGUAUGGAAGAGGUAAGUGGAAUUGCGAGUGUAGAGGUGAAAUUCGUAGAUAUUCGCAGGAACACCAGUGGCGAAGGCGGCUUACUGGUCCAUUACUGACGCUGAGGUGCGAAAGCGUGGGGAGCAAACAGG